AUAGUACGAACAUUUUUGUAGUGUAAGUAAGUAAUUGACGUGAAAUUAGAUUGAAUAAUAUGUAAUUAAAUAACAUAGCAAAAGUUUUAAUAACAGAAAUAUGG
This is a long non-coding RNA of Sander lucioperca (pikeperch), 104 nucleotides long. RefSeq lists it as uncharacterized. The transcript is spliced from 3 exons. The record is from RefSeq and is a predicted model, not a curated record. NCBI's taxonomy places the organism in Eukaryota, Metazoa, Chordata, Actinopteri, Perciformes, Percidae.